Molecule: unclassified non-coding RNA, 227 nt
Filed under: Rhizophagus sp. (in: glomeromycetes)
Lineage: Eukaryota; Fungi; Glomeromycota; Glomeromycetes; Glomerales; Glomeraceae
Description: partial contains 5.8S ribosomal RNA and internal transcribed spacer 2
Rfam family: 5.8S ribosomal RNA (bases 1-65)
Source: RNAcentral
GUGAAUCAUCGAAUCUUUGAACGCAAAUUGCACUCUCUUCGGAGAGUAUGCCUGUUUGAGGGUCAGUAUUAAUAAAAAUCGGUGUGUUGCUUCUUUGUGACGCCUCGGAGUAUGGGUCAUUUUAAUAUAUCCUUUAGGUUUUAAGAGGCUUAAAAUUGACUUUUUUUUGUGCAUUUUAUUAGUUGUACAUAUAUUUUUUUCUUUAUUCGUCUGUCUCAACGCUCAAA